Molecule: non-coding RNA, 48 nt
Organism: Schistosoma curassoni
Lineage: Eukaryota; Metazoa; Platyhelminthes; Trematoda; Strigeidida; Schistosomatidae
Source: Rfam
AUUCGGCUGACGAGUCCCAAAUAGGACUAAGUGACGCGCGUCCUAAAU